Calypte anna (Anna's hummingbird) is the source of this 715-nucleotide long non-coding RNA. RefSeq lists it as uncharacterized. The transcript has 4 exons. The record is from RefSeq and is a predicted model, not a curated record. NCBI's taxonomy places the organism in Eukaryota, Metazoa, Chordata, Aves, Apodiformes, Trochilidae.
GUGUUACUAAGCCUUGAACUCCAGGGACUGAAGCAUAUCAUUUUCAUGCAGUUCUGAAAGAGAAUCCAUCACAGGCAGAACUGGAUGCAACUUCCAUGGUUCCAAAAGAAACAGAACUACAGUCUGGACAAAGAAUCAUUUAAGUUGUGAAGGAAAACCAGCAAAAAAAAGAAUGUACAUCACUGCAAAGAGCUUCCAGAUCUCCCAACUAUGGACUGUUUCAAACAAGGCUGUGGAGACACAGAAGACUGACCUUCAACAUGUUUUUGUAUGAUUUCAACAAGGUUCUUGAUGCGCAGUGGAAGGUUCCAUGGAUCUUCUUGAAUGCUUGCUUGAAUAUUAUUCCGGCACCUAACUGUGGAUUCUUCCUUUUGUUUAAAUUCUAGAAAAAAUGAAGUUUGUUAGCUGUUAAGGAAAUGCUACAUAGCUGAGUGGCUUAUGAGUUAUAAUGUGUGCACAGGUGAAAGCAAAGAUACAGCAUCAAUGGCAACACCUGUCAAUGAAAAAGUUCCUUGAAUAGAUCUAAUACAGAAAAAAAAAAAAAAAAAGGCUAUUCCUAUAAUCUCAUGAUCAGCAGUCUCCUGGCAUUAUGUUCAGGGUUGUGGACUAAAAGUUAUGUACACAGGUAACCUACCAACGUAGGGAGCUCUUCAUGACUCAGAAAGCACAGAAUUCUCUUCUGCUUUCUCUGCCUUCAAUAAUGUGCAGGCAGUUG